UACGGGGGGGGCAAGCGUUGUUCGGAAUUACAGGGCGUAAAGGGCUCGUAGGUGGCCAACUAAGUCAGACGUGAAAUCCCUCAGCUUAACUGGGGAACUGCGUCUGAUACUGGAUGGCUUGAGUUUGGGAGAGGGAUGCGGAAUUCCAGGUGUAGCGGUGAAAUGCGUAGAUAUCUGGAGGAACACCGGUGGCGAAGGCAGCAUCCUGGACCAACACUGACACUGAGGAGCGAAAGCCAGGGGAGCAAACGGG
This 253-nucleotide ribosomal RNA is filed under the name uncultured bacterium. Its description in RNAcentral is "partial 16S ribosomal RNA". It matches the Rfam family "Bacterial small subunit ribosomal RNA", at positions 524 to 776 of the family's 1533-position model. The record is from RNAcentral.